GAUGAACGCUGGCGGCGUGCCUAAUACAUGCAAGUCGAGCGAACGGACGAGAAGCUUGCUUCUCUGAUGUUAGCGGCGGACGGGUGAGUAACACGUGGAUAACCUACCUAUAAGACUGGGAUAACUUCGGGAAACCGGAGCUAAUACCGGAUGAUAUUUUGAACCGCAUGGUUCAAAAGUGAAAGACGGUCUUGCUGUCACUUAUAGAUGGAUCCGCGCUGCAUUAGCUAGUUGGUAAGGUAACGGCUUACCAAGGCAACGAUGCAUAGCCGACCUGAGAGGGUGAUCGGCCACACUGGAACUGAGACACGGUCCAGACUCCUACGGGAGGCAGCAGUAGGGAAUCUUCCGCAAUGGGCGAAAGCCUGACGGAGCAACGCCGCGUGAGUGAUGAAGGUCUUCGGAUCGUAAAACUCUGUUAUUAGGGAAGAACAUAUGUGUAAGUAACUGUGCACAUCUUGACGGUACCUAAUCAGAAAGCCCCGGCUCCCUACGUC
Molecule: ribosomal RNA, 497 nt
Filed under: uncultured bacterium
Lineage: Bacteria
Description: partial 16S ribosomal RNA
Rfam family: Bacterial small subunit ribosomal RNA
Source: RNAcentral